GACGCUGGCGGCGUGCCUAACACAUGCAAGUCAACUUGACUGAAGGAGCAAUCUGACAGUAGAGUGGCGCAAGGGUACGUAACGCGUAAGUAACUUGCCCAAGGUAAGGAAUAACGUCGAGAAAUCGGCGCUAAUACCUCAUAAUGCAGCGGAUCCGCAUGGAUAUGUUGUUAAAGGUUUACCGCCUUGGGAUAGGCUUGCGUCUGAUUAGUUAGUUGGUGUGGUAACGGCACACCAAGGCUACGAUCAGUAACUGGUCUGAGAGGAUGAUCAGUCACACUGGAACUGAGACACGGUCCAGACUCCUACGGGAGGCAGCAGUGAGGAAUAUUGGGCAAUGCUCGAAAGAGUGACCCAGCAACGCCGCGUGGAGGAUGAAGGUAUUCUAUAUCGUAAACUCCUGUGAGAGCAGACGAAAGACAGAUUAUUAAUCUGGAUGACUGUAUGCUCAGAGGAAGCCCCGGCUAACUACGUG
Molecule: ribosomal RNA, 475 nt
Filed under: uncultured bacterium
Lineage: Bacteria
Description: bacterial SSU rRNA
Rfam family: Bacterial small subunit ribosomal RNA
Source: RNAcentral